Molecule: unclassified non-coding RNA, 236 nt
Filed under: Hevea brasiliensis (rubber tree)
Lineage: Eukaryota; Viridiplantae; Streptophyta; Magnoliopsida; Malpighiales; Euphorbiaceae
Source: RNAcentral
CUGGGAUGAUGGAAUCAUGUGCGAUAGCCUCUGGGUCUCCUGCUCAACUGACUAUCUUUUAUGGUGGCACAGUGAAUGUGUAUGAUGAUAUAUCACCUGAGAAGGUACAGGCUAUCAUGUUCUUGGCUGGGCAGGAUUCUUCUAUCUCCUCUAACAUGGCACUGCCAAAAAUUCAAGUCCAUGCACCAAGCUCAAAACCAAUAGCAACUGAUGUCAAUCCUGUGAACCACAAUGUA